GCAUUGGUGGUUCAGUGGUAGAAUUCUCACCUUCCACGCAGAGGACCCAAGUUCAAUUCUUAAUCAAUGUG
Molecule: transfer RNA, 71 nt
Filed under: Loxodonta africana (African savanna elephant)
Lineage: Eukaryota; Metazoa; Chordata; Mammalia; Proboscidea; Elephantidae
Rfam family: tRNA
About the family: Transfer RNA (tRNA) molecules are approximately 80 nucleotides in length. Their secondary structure includes four short double-helical elements and three loops (D, anti-codon, and T loops).
Source: Rfam by way of RNAcentral